RNAcentral lists this ribosomal RNA (253 nucleotides) under uncultured bacterium. RNAcentral's name for it is "partial 16S ribosomal RNA". It matches the Rfam family "Bacterial small subunit ribosomal RNA", at positions 524 to 776 of the family's 1533-position model. The record is from RNAcentral.
UACGUAGGUGGCAAGCGUUGUCCGGAUUUAUUGGGUUUAAAGGGUGCGUAGGCGGUCUAUUCAGUCAGUUGUGAAAUACGGCAGCUCAACUGUCGAGGUGCAAUUGAUACUGAUGGACUUGAGUACUGAUGAGGUAAGCGGAAUGGACGGUGUAGCGGUGAAAUGCUUAGAUAUCGUCCAGAACACCGAUAGCGAAGGCAGCUUACUAAGGAGUAACUGACGCUGAGGCACGAAAGUGUGGGGAGCAAACAGG